This 449-nucleotide ribosomal RNA is filed under the name uncultured bacterium. Its description in RNAcentral is "bacterial SSU rRNA". It matches the Rfam family "Bacterial small subunit ribosomal RNA", at positions 355 to 825 of the family's 1533-position model. The record is from RNAcentral.
UGGGGAAUAUUGGACAAUGGGCGCAAGCCUGAUCCAGCUAUGCCGCGUGGAUGAAGAAGGCCUUCGGGUUGUAAAGUCCUUUCGUUGGUGAAGAUAAUGACGGUAACCAAAGAAGAAGCCCCGGCUAAUUUCGUGCCGGAGCAGCCGCGGUAAUACGAAAGGGGCUAGCGUUGUUCGGAAUUACUGGGCGUAAAGCGCACGUAGGCGGCAUUGUAAGAUGGGGGUGAAAUCCCUGGGCUCAACCCAGGAACUGCCUUCAUGACUGCAAAGCUUGAGGAUGUGAGAGGUUGGCGGAAUUCCGAGUGUAGAGGUGAAAUUCGUAGAUAUUCGGAAGAACACCGGUGGCGAAGGCGGCCAACUGGCGCAUUUCUGACGCUGAGGUGCGAAAGCGUGGGGAGCAAACAGGAUUAGAUACCCCCGUAGUCCCUGAGCGGGCUGGCAAGGCGCAU